AUUGAACGCUGGCGGCAGGCCUAACGCAUGCAAGUCGAGCGGAUGAAGGGAGCUUGCUCCUGGAUUCAGCGGCGGACGGGUGAGUAAUGCCUAGGAAUCUGCCUGGUAGUGGGGGAUAACGUCCGGAAACGGGCGCUAAUACCGCAUACGUCCUGAGGGAGAAAGUGAGGGAUCUUCGGACCUCACGCUAUCAGAUGAGCCUAGGUCGGAUUAGCUAGUUGGUGGGGUAAAGGCCUACCAAGGCGACGAUCCGUAACUGGUCUGAGAGGAUGAUCAGUCACACUGGAACUGAGACACGGUCCAGACUCCUACGGGAGGCAGCAGUGGGGAAUAUUGGACAAUGGGCGAAAGCCUGAUCCAGCCAUGCCGCGUGUGUGAAGAAGGUCUUCGGAUUGUAAAGCACUUUAAGUUGGGAGGAAGGGCAGUAAGUUAAUACCUUGCUGUUUUGACGUUACCAACAGAAUAAGCACCGGCUAACUUCGUG
This 484-nucleotide ribosomal RNA is filed under the name uncultured bacterium. Its description in RNAcentral is "partial 16S ribosomal RNA". It matches the Rfam family "Bacterial small subunit ribosomal RNA", at positions 30 to 507 of the family's 1533-position model. The record is from RNAcentral.